RNAcentral lists this unclassified non-coding RNA (332 nucleotides) under soil metagenome. RNAcentral's name for it is "partial contains 5.8S ribosomal RNA, internal transcribed spacer 2, and large subunit ribosomal RNA". The stretch from base 1 to 120 matches the Rfam family "5.8S ribosomal RNA", at positions 35 to 154 of the family's 154-position model. The record is from RNAcentral.
GAUGAAGAACGCAGCGAAAUGCGAUAAGUAAUAUGAAUUGCAGAAUUCAGUGAAUCAUCGAAUCUUUGAACGCACAUUGCGCCCGCCAGUAUUCUGGCGGGCAUGCCUGUCCGAGCGUCAUUUCAACCAUCAAGCCCCGGGCUUGUGUUGGGGACCUGCGUCCGACGCAGGCCCUGAAAACCAGUGGCGGGCUCGCUGUCCACACCGAGCGUAGUAACUAACCUCGCUAUGGAGUGGCGCGGGCGCCUGCCGUAAAACCCCCAAUUUCACAAGGUUGACCUCGGAUCAGGUAGGAAUACCCGCUGAACUUAAGCAUAUCAAUAAGCGGAGGA